This 1347-nucleotide long non-coding RNA is filed under the name Cyanistes caeruleus (blue tit). RNAcentral's name for it is "lncRNA (ENSCCEG00000002629.1)". The record is from RNAcentral. Lineage: Eukaryota; Metazoa; Chordata; Aves; Passeriformes; Paridae.
GCUCAGAAGCUGAGUUUUCAGGGCGACAGGUCCCCAUGGGCUGCAGUGUCCUCUCAUGUCCCCUGGUCCCCAAGGGCUGAGGUUCACCUGGAGGUGCCAGGUCCUGCUUCCAUUCCCUCCUUCACUUGUUGCUAGUCUCCAACACCACAAGACUCCAUCAGCAGUGUCCCAGGCUUUCCACAGGUGCCACCAACCCACUGGGAGCUCAGCUGAGUGCCAGUGCCACGGGGGGUGGGGGGGGUGGCUUUUGGCCAGAAGGAAGGAGAUGCUUCUCACUUUGUGUCCUUGCAGCAGAGACAGCCCAGAGAAGGCUGCAAUGCAAGGCUCAGCUUAAUGCAGCAGGCCCCUCACAAACACCCCUCUGGGAGCACAACCACAGGAGGAGGGAGGCAGGACAAGCACAGCCAGCUGAGGGGGGCUCAGGCAGAGCAGCCCCAGGGAAUCCUGGCACAGGGUCAGCACAACCACCAGGGCUGUCUCAUGGGGUGUGAGGGCACGGUCCUCUCCUGCCUUGGUGGGCAGUGUGCACGUCUGGGCAUCACCCUCUUCUCCAGCCAAUCUGCUAUUCUCAGCUCCAUGCUUAAAAACUCCUUAGCUUUACCUGGUGAGCAAGGAAUAGUCAGCAUCUCUUCCCAACAUUUAUAACAAGAGCUCAAAGGUUUUAUUGAAACUUGUUUUCCCAUAUGCCUUUCUCCUCAUCAGGCUUCUGGCUCGGGACACUUGGACCAAGAGCAGCUUGUCCAAGCCAGGGAAUGCAGUGAGACACCCACAAAGCUCAGGCCCACCACCCUAACCAGAACCCAUUGAGCUUUCACCAAUGGGUUUUUACCAAUCAGACAGCUUUUCACUGUCUGAUGAAAAUGAAAGAUUAAUGUAUGUCCUGAAAGUCAGAUGAUCUGAGUAAAAUUAAAUCCUGAUGAAAAUCAAAGCUUGGUAAAAAUUAAAGCCUGAAGUCCAAAGUGAUCCAGUGAUUUUUACCAGGAGUACGGCUUUCCUUGGUUAGUUUAUAGCUGUGAGGAAAGACAGAGACAUUUUAUCACAGCUUGCAUUAAACCCCUCUGAUGCCUUGCCUGGGAGAGUGGAAGUGGCCUGGAAGCUGUGCACCUGUCAGCAGGAAAACAAGCUGGAGGAAAAAUGCUCCCAAAUCCCAGAAAGCCCUGGAGCCUCCUGGGCUGGUGUCCCCAACAGGGGCAGCUGGCUGUCCUCAGCCAAGGAAACACUGGGAUUCCACUGGAUUUAUUGUACCUAUCCAUUGCAUCACACAAAGGAUCUGAGGACACCUGGCUAAUUUUUUCACCCCAAGUUCUUGAUACACAAAUAAACACACUUCCCCCUUUUCUUUGUCCA